ACGAAGUUUGCCGGGACCACUAGUUUAAAAUAAAUAUAUUCCAAGAGGCGGAAGGGGAAUUCACCCCUACGGCUCGGCUUGGAUACGACGCUGACGAACUACGCGCACUUAUUUAUCGUCGUAUCGUUUUGUGUUUCCCAUUCGUUACAAAAGGAUCAAGUCGCAGUCGGUGAAGUCGUUAGACAAAAUUUCAUCAAAGUAGAUUUCGUUCACUCGCAGAAUGUUUUCAAAAAUUAAUAAUUAAAAAAUGAACGUAAAAAUCUAUCUCUCGUCCAAGUUGGUGGAACAGUGCACAUUCUGUCAGCUGUUCGGCUUGAUCGAGGUGCAGCGGGACGAGAUCCGGUUCGUAGUUCUGGACAGCAAACUGCUCCCGGGAACGUAUCUGAUAGGUGAGAUUAGCAGCGAAUCUGAUUAUCAACGGCGCCAGCAGCAGGACACGGACCUCUCGUCCGGUACGCAUCGCGACCUACAGGAGGAAAACUUCCUGCGUCUGUCCAUAUCGGACCGCGGUCGAAUUAAACACGUUACCACCAAGGUGAAAGGAGUGACCAUCGAGACUCUGAACAAGGUCCUGAUCAUUUACGACGAACAGGGGUUCUCCAAUUUGGCUGAGAACCGGCCGCUUCUGCAGUUGGACGAGAACGACAAUGAUUUGUUGCAGCUGGCGCGGUUGAUAAAAUCAUCCAAGCCAUUGGGAAAUUCGGCCCUGAAGGAUCUGCUGGGGUAUGCUGCGGACUGUCGGAUGGUUACGGUGAUGGGCCUUGUGAUGCGCCCAUUUAUGGCCGUUUUGAGGAUUUUCCUCAAGAAAACUGCUCUAUUCUAUCACUUUUCUGAGUGGUACACCAGUAUUAGGAACAAAGGAAGUGAAAGUGCAAAAUGGGCUCUCUUGUUCGAUAUAGGCCUAGGAGUGGCUGUGUUGUCGUUAGUCUUGUACUUUGGAAAUCCAGGAGUUUACUUCAUGCGGUAUGCUGAGUUGGUGGUCCACUACCUGCGCGAACUGCUGCAAACCCUCCGCGGGAGCCCCAUCGGUCUGAAGCUGAACGCCCCACUCAACGACUUCUUCCUGGGCUGUUUCCUGUACCACGUCGAUCUCUGGUGGACGUUCCUGAUCAUCGUCUCGCCGGCCAUUCGGUUCCUAUUCAUUCCACUGUCAGUACUGGGUUUGCUAGGGGCUUUCCUUCCAGCUGGCCAUGCUGUCCGAUUUGAUCAUUUUGAUCAGCCUGCCACGCGCACUGCUUCUACAUCUAUCAGCGGUGUAAGUUCAUGAGUUAUCAGAUGUCUUACCAUUGACAAUCUUCAACUUCUUCCAUAUGCAGCCUCUAUCGCAUUGAAAUCGGUGGCAUACGAGCCCUCUGCCGGAUCGUCCUGGGCAAAAAGAAGAACGUGCUACGCGAUCGCGUCGAAUCGCACGAGUACAUGAACAGGCAACUGUUCCUGGCCACAUUGACCUUUGCGGUGUUGCUGUUCCUGUUGCCAACCAUUCUCGUGUACUAUGUAGUCUUUGCUACGCUGCGCUUUGCAAUCUACUGCGUGUCGGUCACGUUGAUGACGAUUCGGCGCAUGAUUCUGCAGUUUUCCGGUUUGACGGCAUGAUCCGAUUGGAUGCGCGGAGUCUAACACCCAGCCUGGAAAGUAUGGAGAUCUACAAUAUUGGCGCGCAAGCCAAGGAGAACAUCACCAUCAUCUACAUUGCGCCGCGAUCCAAGGCUUUCGAGGACGGUGCUGCCAGCCAAGGGAGCCCGGUCGUGAUGCGAUCGAUCUCGAUUGGGCAGUUUUUUUGGUAAGUCUCGUCCCGAGGUGAGAUGGUACCGUUCAUUCAACCGGACGAGAGCGUGCAUCGGAAGGUGGAAUAAAUGCUAGUCAACGUUGUAAUGG
Aedes aegypti (yellow fever mosquito) is the source of this 1875-nucleotide RNA transcript. RefSeq lists it as uncharacterized. NCBI's taxonomy places the organism in Eukaryota, Metazoa, Arthropoda, Insecta, Diptera, Culicidae. The transcript is spliced from 5 exons. The record is from RefSeq and is a predicted model, not a curated record.